GCCGCCGGUGCUGGUGUGAGAAGUUCAUUAAACCUUAUCAUUUAGAGGAAGGAGAAGUCGUAACAAGGUUUCCGUAGGUGAACCUGCGGAAGGAUCAUUGAACACACGAUCUGGAAAAAACUUUGCGAACCGUUCGUACCUAGACGUGCUGGGAGGCACGGUCGUUGGGGGCCAGAGUCAAGGUCAAUGUGCGUCAGCCUGAUCCUCUGUUGGUGCGUGUGGGUUGAUAACUCGGUUCCCAUCGGAGAACCCCCGGCACGCGGGGGUCCGUGUGUUCCUCCACAGCAGGGCGGCCAGGGAGAGAGGAGCCGGGGAGCCGAUCGGACUCGGGAUGACUCUUGUCGUCCCGAGGCGGGCGAGGACGCGGCGCAUCUCACACGUCCUUGGCGGCUCUAUUGGGGGAGCCGAGAUCCGGAGUGUUUUCCCCUCCUCCGCGGGAGGGGAGACCAGAUUCUCCGGGGGGGACCCUCCAUGAGGAGGGCUCCCCCAUCGGAGUUCCCUCCUUUCCCGCGGGGCCCUUUUUUUUUUUCUUCCCACAAGGAACCUGACAAAACCCUGAGUUGAUGGAUUGAGGAGGACGAGGGCCGUCCGCUGGUGCGGGCUCCAUCCUUGGGGGGGGAGUCCGCCUGGAUGGUCCGGAGUUCACCGAGGAAAAACACAAUGACUCUCAGAACGGAUAUCUUGGCUCUUGCAACGAUGAAGAACGCAGCGAAAUGCGAUACCUAGUGUGAAUUGCAGAAUUCCGCGAAUCAUCGAGUCUUUGAACGCAAGUUGCGCCCGAGGCUUGUUCCAAGGGCAUGCCUGCCUGAGCGUCCGCUCCGACCCACCCACCGGCCUCCUGCCUCCUCCCGCGAGGGGUAGAGGCGGGGGGCGAUUCAAGUGGAGUGGAAAUGGUCGUCCGAGAGACCCGCCCGGCUCCCCUACGGGGUCCGAAGGGCGAGGGAUUCGCGGUCGGCUGAAAGACAAGGGCCGUCUGCGAAGCGCGCGCUGGGUCCGUGGUGCGACGCGAGAAGGUGCCGUCCGGCUCCCGCCCGCAUAGAGACGGGAGCCGAGCGUUCAUAGAGAAAGCGUCGCAUCGCCCCCGCGCAGUCGAGACUUGGCGGAUUGGCCGGGAAAGGACAUGGGAACGGGAGUGGUCCCGCUGGGCGCUUCUGGCAGCCCCGAGAUCCCUUUGCCUCGGGCGCGGUUUCUCGGGGAGCAGAUGUGCGGGCGGGCCCACCCUCGUUACGUUGCUGGGACCUCAGAUCAGGCAAGACCACCCGCUGAGUUUAA
RNAcentral lists this ribosomal RNA (1272 nucleotides) under Leptolejeunea epiphylla. RNAcentral describes it as "eukaryotic LSU rRNA". The stretch from base 663 to 815 matches the Rfam family "5.8S ribosomal RNA". The record is from RNAcentral. Lineage: Eukaryota; Viridiplantae; Streptophyta; Jungermanniopsida; Porellales; Lejeuneaceae.